AGUGAACGCUGGCGGUAGGCCUAACACAUGCAAGUCGAACGGCAGCACAGUAAGAGCUUGCUCUUACGGGUGGCGAGUGGCGGACGGGUGAGGAAUACAUCGGAAUCUACUUUUUCUUGGGGGACAACGUAGGGAAACUUACGCUAAUACCGCAUACUACCUACGGCUGAAAGCAGGGGAUCUUCGGACUUUGCGCGAUUGAAUGAGCCGAUGUCGGAUUAGCUAGUUGGCGGGGUAAAGGCCCACCAAGGCAACGAUCCGUAGCUGGUCUGAGAGGAUGAUCAGCCACACUGGAACUGAGACACGGUCCAGACUCCUACGGGAGGCAGCAGUGGGGAAUAUUGGACAAUGGGCGCAAGCCUGAUCCAGCCAUACCGCGUGGGUGAAGAAGGCCUUCGGGUUGUAAAGCCCUUUUGUUGGGAAAGAAAAGCAGCAGGUUAAUACCCCGCUGUUCUGACGGUACCCAAAGAAUAAGCACCGGCUAACUUCGUG
This 492-nucleotide ribosomal RNA is filed under the name uncultured bacterium. RNAcentral describes it as "partial 16S ribosomal RNA". It matches the Rfam family "Bacterial small subunit ribosomal RNA", at positions 29 to 507 of the family's 1533-position model. The record is from RNAcentral.